UCCAGGCGUACCAGAAGUUUCAGAAGUGCUAGGUGUGCCAAUAGUGCCAGGAGUGCCAGAUGUACCACUAGUGCCUGGACUGCCAGGGGUGCCUGGAGUGCCAGGGGUGCCAGGAGUGCCAGGGGUGCCAGGUGUGCCGGGACUUCCAGAUGUGUCAGGAGUUCCAGAUGUGCCAGGAAUUCCAGGCGUACCAGGAGUUUCAGGAGUGCUAGGUGUGCCAAUAGUGCCAGGAGUGCCAGGGGUGCCAGGAGUGCCAGGGGUGCCAGGAGUGCCAGGAGUGCCAGGUGUGCCGGGACUUCCAGAUGUGCCAGGAGUUCCAGGCGUACCAGGAGUUUCAGGAGUGCUAGGUGUGCCAAUA
Apis cerana (Asiatic honeybee) is the source of this 358-nucleotide long non-coding RNA. RefSeq lists it as uncharacterized. NCBI's taxonomy places the organism in Eukaryota, Metazoa, Arthropoda, Insecta, Hymenoptera, Apidae. The record is from RefSeq and is a predicted model, not a curated record.